AACGAACGCUGGCGGCAGGCCUAACACAUGCAAGUCGAGCGGACCCUCCGGGGUUAGCGGCGGACGGGUGAGUAACGCGUGGGAAUAUGCCCUUCUCUACGGAAUAGUCCUGGGAAACUGGGGGUAAUACCGUAUACGCCCUUUGGGGGAAAGAUUUAUCGGGGAAGGAUUAGCCCGCGUUGGAUUAGGUAGUUGGUGGGGUAAUGGCCUACCAAGCCGACGAUCCAUAGCUGGUUUGAGAGGAUGAUCAGCCACACUGGGACUGAGACACGGCCCAGACUCCUACGGGAGGCAGCAGUGGGGAAUCUUAGACAAUGGGGGCAACCCUGAUCGAGCCAUGCCGCGUGAGUGAUGAAGGCCUUAGGGUUGUAAAGCUCUUUCAGCUGGGAAGAUAAUGACGGUACCAGCAGAAGAAGCCCCGGCUAACUCCGUG
This 433-nucleotide ribosomal RNA is filed under the name uncultured bacterium. Its description in RNAcentral is "partial 16S ribosomal RNA". It matches the Rfam family "Bacterial small subunit ribosomal RNA", at positions 29 to 507 of the family's 1533-position model. The record is from RNAcentral.